GACGAACGCUGGCGGCGUGCCUAAUACAUGCAAGUCGAGCGGAAUGAUGAAGAAGCUUGCUUCUUCUGAUUUUAGCGGCGGACGGGUGAGUAACACGUGGGCAACCUACCUUGUAGAUUGGGAUAACUCCGGGAAACCGGGGCUAAUACCGAAUAAUCCAUUUUGCUUCAUGGCGAGAUGUUAAAAGGCGGCUUCGGCUGUCACUACGAGAUGGGCCCGCGGCGCAUUAGCUAGUUGGUAGGGUAAUGGCCUACCAAGGCGACGAUGCGUAGCCGACCUGAGAGGGUGAUCGGCCACACUGGGACUGAGACACGGCCCAGACUCCUACGGGAGGCAGCAGUAGGGAAUCUUCCACAAUGGACGAAAGUCUGAUGGAGCAACGCCGCGUGAGUGAAGAAGGUUUUCGGAUCGUAAAACUCUGUUGUAAGGGAAGAACACGUACGAGAGUAACUGCUCGUACCUUGACGGUACCUUAUUAGAAAGCCACGGCUAACUACGU
This 499-nucleotide ribosomal RNA is filed under the name uncultured bacterium. RNAcentral's name for it is "bacterial SSU rRNA". It matches the Rfam family "Bacterial small subunit ribosomal RNA", at positions 28 to 506 of the family's 1533-position model. The record is from RNAcentral.